CAGCCGCCGCGGUAAUACGUAGGUCCCGAGCGUUGUCCGGAUUUAUUGGGCGUAAAGCGAGCGCAGGCGGUUAGAUAAGUCUGAAGUUAAAGGCUGUGGCUUAACCAUAGUACGCUUUGGAAACUGUUUAACUUGAGUGCAAGAGGGGAGAGUGGAAUUCCAUGUGUAGCGGUGAAAUGCGUAGAUGUAUGGAGGAACACCGGUGGCGAAAGCGGCUCUCUGGCUUGUAACUGACGCUGAGGCUCGAAAGCGUGGGGAGCAAACAGGAUUAGAUACCCGCGUAGUCCCUGUCUCUUAUACC
This 301-nucleotide ribosomal RNA is filed under the name uncultured bacterium. RNAcentral describes it as "partial 16S ribosomal RNA". It matches the Rfam family "Bacterial small subunit ribosomal RNA", at positions 509 to 808 of the family's 1533-position model. The record is from RNAcentral.